RNAcentral lists this ribosomal RNA (303 nucleotides) under uncultured bacterium. RNAcentral describes it as "partial 16S ribosomal RNA". It matches the Rfam family "Bacterial small subunit ribosomal RNA", at positions 507 to 807 of the family's 1533-position model. The record is from RNAcentral.
AGCAGUAGCCGCGGUAAUACGGAGGGGGCUAGCGUUGUUCGGAAUUACUGGGCGUAAAGCGCACGUAGGCGGCUUGGUAAGUCAGAGGUGAAAGCCUGGAGCUCAACUCCAGAAUUGCCUUUAAGACUGCCGAGCUAGCAGGUGAGAGAGGUAAGUGGAAUUCCGAGUGUAGAGGUGAAAUUCGUAGAUAUUCGGAAGAACACCAGUGGCGAAGGCGGCCAUCUGGGACAACACUGACGCUGAGGCACGAAAGCGUGGGGAGCAGACAGGAUUAGAGACCCCUGUAGUCCCUGUCUCUUAUAC